AUACGUAGGGAGCGAGCGUUGUCCGGAAUUACUGGGUGUAAAGGGAGCGUAGGCGGGAGUGCAAGUCAGAUGUGAAAUACAUGGGCUCAACCCAUGGGCUGCAUUUGAAACUGCAUUUCUUGAGUGAAGUAGAGGUAAGCGGAAUUCCUGGUGUAGCGGUGAAAUGCGUAGAGAUCAGGAGGAACACCGGUGGCGAAGGCGGCUUACUGGGCUUUUACUGACGCGGAGGCUCGAAAGCGUGGGGAGCAAACAGGAUUAGAUUCCCUGGUAGUCCACGCUGUAAACGAUGAUUACUAGGUGUGGGGGGACUGACCCCUUCCGUGCCGCAGUUAACACAAUAAGUAAUCCACCUGGGGAGUACGGCCGCAAGGUUGAAACUCAAAUGAAUUGACGGGG
Molecule: ribosomal RNA, 396 nt
Filed under: uncultured bacterium
Lineage: Bacteria
Description: partial 16S ribosomal RNA
Rfam family: Bacterial small subunit ribosomal RNA
Source: RNAcentral